AUUCCCGGACCCAGAGGGCAGCAAAAGCUCUCGGUCUUCGUAGACUGGGCCGGGCCGGGGAAGUGAGUCCAGGCGCUGGGGCUUCCCUAUAUUUUAUGGUCGCCGCGCUGGCUGAAUCUUCACAGUCCCAUGAACACUUCCUCUCGCUUGGACCUGGGAUCCGCGCCCAGGACCCACUUUCCUUCUAGUGCCUCGGCUGGGUGGAUGGCCGUGCGCCCUCUCCCGGCUCCCCCACCGGGUCUCCUGGAAGAAAAUGUGCAGGAAAAGGCCAGAGGACAGCUGCUUCCGGAGUCACCAAGGGGAGGCUGGAAACAGCAGACAGGACCUUAGGGGCGCUGGCCAAGAACUGCCCUGGGUAGGUGAGCUGGCCCAACCCCUCACCCGGGUCACAGAAGGACUUUCGGAUGGCGGAUGUUAUUGGAGAAGGGUGUCUGUGGAGUCCAGUUUGAAGUUCCUGGGGUAUGGAAGGGUGACCAAUGGGGUGAGGUAUAACUUAAGCCAUUGAAGGGUCAACAGGGUCAUUGGUUCACGUUGUGGAUUUAAUGAGAGUUAUCAGAAUGCUGUUUAAGUCAAGGAUGAACAAACUUUCUAAAGGGGCUUUGUUCUGUCUCUGUCCCAGCUAUUCAGCUCCUCCAUCACAAGUGUGGAAGCAGCCAUAGGCACUAUGUAAAGGAAUACAUGUGGCUGUGUUUCAAUAGAACUUUUUUUGUGGGUACUAAAAUUUUAAUUUCAGCUAAUUUUCAUGUUAUGAAAAAUUCAGUUUUUCUUCUCCGUGGUCUGCAGGCUGUGGUUUGCUUACUCUGGUUUAAGUGACUGAGAGGUCAAAGUGGAUCAGUGGGGAUGUUUCAUUUAUUGAGUUAUUGGGAAUCACUGUGGAUUCCGUGUUUAUCAGUUUCAUCUUUGAGAGUUCAAAGGUGUUCAGUGGUGAUCACUAAGGAUGUGAUCAUCAGUGAAUUCAUCAGAGGCCAAAAGGAGUUCCUUGGAUAUUCAAGAGGACUGUCCGUGGAUGUUAAUGGCAGUCACUGGGAGGUCAGGGAGACAGUGAAAGUAACUGAGAGCCCACUGAGAUUUGGAGUGUUAGUUUAAUUGAGGGAGUCAAGAGAGUCAGAGUUCACCGAGGGCUCUUAAUCAGGUCAUAAUAGUGAAUGUCAGUGGAAUCACUGAGAUUUUGUGGAGAGUCAUAGGUUGUUGGAGACUCAGAGAUGCAGGAUACACAUGUAUCUGUAAACUUAUGAGAAAAUAUAGAGGUCACUGGAGGAGUCAUAGAGACUCCUGCAUCUCUGAGUACUCAUAGAUACUAACGGCAGUCAUUCAGGACUAGUGGGUUCCAGAGUAAGUGGGGAAGUCCCUGUGGGAACAUGAAAGGUCUUUGUGGACCCUGGUGGUAGAUGCCAUUGGAGGUCAACAGUCACUGCAAGCUGAUGGCAUAUGGGGACCGAGGCAAUAUUGAGGAGUCAGUAGGUCAUCCAUAUCAUCCAUGGUAGUGACUGGGAGGCAGGGAGGCUGACCUGGAAACUGGGGUUUGGCUAGCUGAAGAUGUUCUGUCCAACUAGGAGUAUAGGGUCUAUUUGUCCAACAGGUGGGUGUAUUUGUCUGUCUACCUGGCUUGAGGGUCUAUUUAGCUGGCUUGAGGGUGUGUCUAUUCAGCUGGCUUAAGGGAUCUCUAUAUCCUGCCAAGGGCCUGGCUUUCUCACAAUCUGAGGUCUUUCUUACUGGAAGAGGUUAACCUGUCAAGCUAAAGUUCUGGCGGGCUAGCUGACUAGGUAAGUGAGGUGUCUUUCCACUGGGGUAAUGUCACUUUGUCUAGUAAGGAGGUGGUGGUCUAUCUGUCCAUAAGGGAUUCUGUCUUGGUGGGAUGCAUGGGUAGGGGGAACGUUCAUGUGUCUAGCCACAGGUCUUUCUAGAUAUCUGGCUGGGCAUCUUUCCAUUUGUCCAAGAAUAUGUCCAUUUGUCUUGCUAUCUGUCCUGCUAGGAGUCUAUUUUUCUCGCAGGACUCUGUCCAUCUAGAAGUCUGUCUCUAACUAGGGAUCUUUUUUGCCUAUCUAGCUGGGAUCUUACAGCCUGUCAACAUAAGUGGCUGAGGCUAUAGCCUACCUGUCAAGCUUCUAGCUACUCUGGAUAUUUGUCUUUCUGGCUGCAUGUCCAUCCUCACUUCAUGACCCCCAUUUGCUGUUUAACCUGCCUGCCCUCCUAACCAUCUCUCCACAUCUCUUCAAACAUUCAAACUCUACUGGCUUGCCUUCCACUCAGUUCAGCCUGGGUAUGGGGGAUGGGAAGAUCCUCAAGACCUCAUCUCACCAGCCCCUGCAUGCCCCACCUCCCUUCUCCCAGAAGCCUGCAAGCUGUUCUUGGGGACGUGGUGCUGCUGGUGGCCCUCUUGUUCACCCUACUGGCUGCAGUCCCAUGCAACAGGAACAGCUCGUAUGACCCUGCAGAUCUUGAACACCCUGAUGCCCAUAUGCCACAUGCCAAUUUGCCACCUGCUUGCCUGAAUGCUUGCUGAACUGGCCACUCAAGAGAGCCAUGUGGAAUGGGUGCUGGAAUGUAUUCAAAGAUGCUUUCACAAUGCUGUGAGGAACGCAGCCUGCCUUGAUGUUGCCAAGGAAAAAAUCCUAACUUUACAGUGGAGAAACCUAGAAGAUACCACCUUAAUCUGAGAAGCUUGUGAAGAGAUACUCUGAGACUACUGACGUCCCUACUAUACAGUUCCCUGCCUUCCUUUGGUAGGCCAAAAAAAGGCAGAAGAAAUUUGAAAAAAAAUUCUCCCACUGCUCCACUCUGUUAAGAACCUGCAGGCUGGUUGUAGGCUACUGACCUGUUGGCCCAUCCACAAAUCUGGCAUUCAGCAAAUACAAAAAAUGUUACUUUCCAGUUACAAAAGGCAGCCUGAGUCCACCUGUGAUUGGAGCUGCCUUUGGGAGGGCUUUUGUUAUAGUCUCCUAUCUCUUCACGGGUUCUGGGUUUCAGUGUUCCGAAUGGAAGAUUCCCUCCUGGCCCUUUUCUGGAAAAAAGGUCAGCAGCUCAGAGCUGGGUGAAGACAACCCAUGAAAAAAGCCACCCUACUCUUUCUUGGUCCUGCUGCCAGCCUCUACCACCCCAGCAAUUUGUGGAAGCCAGAUUCUACCAUCCUUAAGAUGUUCAUACCAACUCCUCUUCAGGCUGGCCCCACCUCUUCCAAGGUGGAGACAGGGAAUCCUCAUCACCCAGAGAAAGUUCCAGGUGGGAGCACAUGCUUUUGGAGCCAGUGGCAACCCAGCCCUGGCUCUCUGAGCUGAUACCUCAGGCUCCUAUGAAAUCCAGGCAAACGAAUAAGCUGCUAGCAUCCUGGAGUCUCUGGCCAGGCUGCCCUGUGUCCUGGCUUACAGUAUCUACACGCGACUUUAGCCCUAUAAUCGGGAAACUGAACACAAAAUAUUUAAAAUAAUGUAUUUGGAAUAUGUAAUACAUAAAAUAUAUAUUUGGAAUAAUUUU
Pteropus alecto (black flying fox) is the source of this 3471-nucleotide long non-coding RNA. RefSeq lists it as uncharacterized. The record is from RefSeq and is a predicted model, not a curated record. NCBI's taxonomy places the organism in Eukaryota, Metazoa, Chordata, Mammalia, Chiroptera, Pteropodidae. The transcript is spliced from 2 exons.